AGAACGAACGCUGGCGGCAUGCCUAACACAUGCAAGUCGAACGAGACCUUCGGGUCUAGUGGCGCACGGGUGCGUAACGCGUGGGAAUCUGCCCUUGGGUUCGGGAUAACAGUUGGAAACGACUGCUAAUACCGGAUGAUGACUUCGGUCCAAAGAUUUAUCGCCCAGGGAUGAGCCCGCGUAGGAUUAGCUAGUUGGUGAGGUAAAGGCUCACCAAGGCGACGAUCCUUAGCUGGUCUGAGAGGAUGAUCAGCCACACUGGGACUGAGACACGGCCCAG
This 280-nucleotide ribosomal RNA is filed under the name uncultured soil bacterium. RNAcentral describes it as "partial 16S ribosomal RNA". It matches the Rfam family "Bacterial small subunit ribosomal RNA", at positions 26 to 334 of the family's 1533-position model. The record is from RNAcentral.